UGGAAGGAAUGGAUGGCUACUUGCCAAAUAUAAUCCAGGAUGAUUAUCAUGCAUCCUUAGAUGCCUGCUCAUUGUCAGCUUGCAUGUGUACAUGGGACAAAGUCAGUUUUUAUCUGACAAAGGUAUCGCAGAGUGCUUUAUUUCUGAUACAGCUUCAGCGCACACGGAGAUUGGGCGAAACAGCACGCCCCCUCUCUGCUGGCCACGCCUCUCUGCAGCCUCGGGCCUCACCUCCGGACCACUGGUAACGGCAAAGGAAAAAACGAGGAGCAUGAUGAGCAUUACGCCAGCAUGGCGAAGAGGUACAAAGCAAGGAGCUGGCGGCGGCUCCAUCAUGCGCCGACGAAGCCUGCCAGGAGGAUGAGACCGCCCAGGAUGGACGGGCCACGCGCGUGUAAGCGAACCAGAUCCCCGAGGCUUACGGGGACGGCGCACAUGCCAGUGUCCGGUAUGUUGUUUCUCACGGCUCACCCCACCCAUGGCUGGAUGCUCAAGCUGUGGCGCCGCUGCUUUCCAUAUGCUUGUGUUGUUUCUGUGUCUGCUGUGGGUUCAGCACGGAUCUGAAGGCUUCCUUCAUGGAUGAUGGAUGAUGUGAUGCUGAAUGCGAGGCUAACAUACAACCUGAGCUUCGUCAUGGAAGGAAUGGACGGCUACUUGCGAAAUAUAAUCCAGGAUGAUUACCAUGCCUAAUCAGAUGCCUGCUCAUUGUCAGCUUGCGUGUGUACAUGGGACAAAGUCAGUUUUUAUCUGACAAAGGUAUCGCAGAGUGCUUUAUUUCUGAUACAGCUUCAGCGCACACGGAGAUUGGGCGAAACAGCACGCCCCCCCUAUGCUGGCCACGCCUCUCCGCAGCCUCGAGCCUCACCUCUGGACCGCUGGUGACGACAAAGGCAAAAACGAGGAUCGUGAUGAGCAUUGCGCCGGCAUGGUGAAGAGGUACAAAGCAAGGAGCUGGCGGCGGCUCCAUCAUGUGCCGACGAAGCCUUCCAGGAGGAUGAGACCGCCCAGGAUGGACGGGCCACGCGCGCGUAAGCGAACCAGAUCCCCGAGGCUUACGGGGACGGCGCACAUGCCAGUGUCCGGCUUCCUUCAUGGAUGAUGGAUGAUGUGAUGUUGAAUGCGAGGCUAAGACACAACCUGAGCUUCGUCAUGGAAGGAAUGGACGGCUACUUGCCAAAAAUAAUCCAGGAUGAUUAUCAUGCAUCCUCAGAUGCCUGCUCAUUGUCAGCUUGCAUGUGUACAUGGGACAAAGUCAGUAUUUAUCUGACAAAGGUAUUGCAGAGUGCUUUAUUUCUUAUACAGCUUUAGCGCACACGGAGAUUGGGCCAAACAGCAUGCCCCCCUCUGCUGGCCACGCCUCUCCACAGCCUCGGGCCUCACCUCCGGACCGCUAGUGACGGCAAAGGCAAAAACGAGGAGCGUGAUGAGCAUUUCGCCGGCAUGGUGAAGAGGUACAAAGCAAGGAGCUGGCGGCGGCUCCAUCAUGCGCCGACGAAGCCUGCCAGGAGGAUGAGACCGCCCAGGAUGGACGGGCCACGCGCGCGUAAGCGAACCAGAUCCCCGAGGCUUACGGGGACGGCGCACAUGCCAGUGUCCGUGCGGAUCUGAAGGCUUCCUUCAUGGAUGAUGGAUGAUGUGAUGCUGCAUGCGAGGCUAAGAUACAACCUGAGUCUUCCAUUUUGUAGAGACAUGAGCUACUAAUAACAUUGCCUUCUUGGAGUAACAUUGCCUUCCCUGACUCCGGAAUUGGCUAAAUGCCAAUACAACCCAAGUUAGUUUCCAUAUAAGUGAUUCAAGAUUAAAACCUUGAUACACCUUUCGGAAGACUUAGAG
Non-coding RNA from Aegilops tauschii subsp. strangulata, 1833 nucleotides. NCBI's taxonomy places the organism in Eukaryota, Viridiplantae, Streptophyta, Magnoliopsida, Poales, Poaceae. The record is from RefSeq and is a predicted model, not a curated record.